UACGUAGGGCGCAAGCGUUGUCCGGAAUUAUUGGGCGUAAAGAGCUCGUAGGCGGUCUGUCGCGUCGGCUGUGAAAACCCGGAGCUCAACUCCGGGCCUGCAGUCGAUACGGGCAAACUGGAGUGUUGCAGGGGAGACUGGAAUUCCUGGUGUAGCGGUGAAAUGCGCAGAUAUCAGGAGGAACACCGGUGGCGAAGGCGGGUCUCUGGGCAACAACUGACGCUGAGGAGCGAAAGCGUGGGGAGCGAACAGG
Molecule: ribosomal RNA, 253 nt
Filed under: uncultured bacterium
Lineage: Bacteria
Description: partial 16S ribosomal RNA
Rfam family: Bacterial small subunit ribosomal RNA
Source: RNAcentral